UACGUAGGGUGCGAGCGUUAAUCGGAAUUACUGGGCGUAAAGCGUGCGCAGGCGGUCUGUUAAGACCGAUGUGAAAUCCCCGGGCUUAACCUGGGAACUGCAUUGGUGACUGGCAGGCUUUGAGUGUGGCAGAGGGAGGUAGAAUUCCACGUGUAGCAGUGAAAUGCGUAGAGAUGUGGAGGAAUACCGAUGGCGAAGGCAGCCUCCUGGGCCAACACUGACGCUCAUGCACGAAGCGUGGGGAGCAAACAGG
RNAcentral lists this ribosomal RNA (253 nucleotides) under uncultured bacterium. Its description in RNAcentral is "partial 16S ribosomal RNA". It matches the Rfam family "Bacterial small subunit ribosomal RNA", at positions 524 to 776 of the family's 1533-position model. The record is from RNAcentral.